AGUUAAGGAACAUCGGUUAAGAUCGCAACGUCCUGUUGCAACACCGAUGUCAGCACAUCCUGUGCA
This 66-nucleotide small RNA is filed under the name Domibacillus enclensis. RNAcentral describes it as "Bacillaceae-1 RNA". It matches the Rfam family "Bacillaceae-1 RNA". Lineage: Bacteria; Bacillati; Bacillota; Bacilli; Caryophanales; Bacillaceae. The record is from RNAcentral.